RNAcentral lists this ribosomal RNA (135 nucleotides) under Zachvatkinia sp. 3 LMS-2018. RNAcentral's name for it is "partial 16S large subunit ribosomal RNA". The record is from RNAcentral. Lineage: Eukaryota; Metazoa; Arthropoda; Arachnida; Sarcoptiformes; Avenzoariidae.
AAUUUUCUAGAAUUUAAUUAUUUUUUAUUUUUAAUUUAUAUUCUUGUUGAAAAUAACAGGAUUUUCUCUUAAGACUAAAAGACCCUAGAAUUUUUAUAAUUUUUUUUUAUUUAGUUGGGGCAACUAAAAAUAAAA